RNAcentral lists this ribosomal RNA (1407 nucleotides) under Microbacterium ginsengisoli. RNAcentral's name for it is "bacterial SSU rRNA". It matches the Rfam family "Bacterial small subunit ribosomal RNA". The record is from RNAcentral. Lineage: Bacteria; Bacillati; Actinomycetota; Actinomycetes; Micrococcales; Microbacteriaceae.
CAGUGUGCUUACCUGCAGUCGAACGGUGAAGCAGAGCUUGCUCUGUGGAUCAGUGGCGAACGGGUGAGUAACACGUGAGCAACCUGCCCCGGACUCUGGGAUAACAGUUGGAAACAGCUGCUAAUACCGGAUACGAGCUGCGAAGGCAUCUUCAGCAGUUGGAAAGAAUUUCGGUCUGGGAUGGGCUCGCGGCCUAUCAGCUUGUUGGUGAGGUAAUGGCUCACCAAGGCGUCGACGGGUAGCCGGCCUGAGAGGGUGACCGGCCACACUGGGACUGAGACACGGCCCAGACUCCUACGGGAGGCAGCAGUGGGGAAUAUUGCACAAUGGGCGAAAGCCUGAUGCAGCAACGCCGCGUGAGGGAUGACGGCCUUCGGGUUGUAAACCUCUUUUAGCAGGGAAGAAGCGAAAGUGACGGUACCUGCAGAAAAAGCGCCGGCUAACUACGUGCCAGCAGCCGCGGUAAUACGUAGGGCGCAAGCGUUAUCCGGAAUUAUUGGGCGUAAAGAGCUCGUAGGCGGUUUGUCGCGUCUGCUGUGAAAUCCCGAGGCUCAACCUCGGGCCUGCAGUGGGUACGGGCAGACUAGAGUGCGGUAGGGGAGAUUGGAAUUCCUGGUGUAGCGGUGGAAUGCGCAGAUAUCAGGAGGAACACCGAUGGCGAAGGCAGAUCUCUGGGCCGUAACUGACGCUGAGGAGCGAAAGGGUGGGGAGCAAACAGGCUUAGAUACCCUGGUAGUCCACCCCGUAAACGUUGGGAACUAGUUGUGGGGUCCAUUCCACGGAUUCCGUGACGCAGCUAACGCAUUAAGUUCCCCGCCUGGGGAGUACGGCCGCAAGGCUAAAACUCAAAGGAAUUGACGGGGACCCGCACAAGCGGCGGAGCAUGCGGAUUAAUUCGAUGCAACGCGAAGAACCUUACCAAGGCUUGACAUAUAGAGGAAACGGCUGGAAACAGUCGCCCCGCAAGGUCUCUAUACAGGUGGUGCAUGGUUGUCGUCAGCUCGUGUCGUGAGAUGUUGGGUUAAGUCCCGCAACGAGCGCAACCCUCGUUCUAUGUUGCCAGCACGUAAUGGUGGGAACUCAUGGGAUACUGCCGGGGUCAACUCGGAGGAAGGUGGGGAUGACGUCAAAUCAUCAUGCCCCUUAUGUCUUGGGCUUCACGCAUGCUACAAUGGCCGGUACAAAGGGCUGCAAUACCGUGAGGUGGAGCGAAUCCCAAAAAGCCGGUCCCAGUUCGGAUUGAGGUCUGCAACUCGACCUCAUGAAGUCGGAGUCGCUAGUAAUCGCAGAUCAGCAACGCUGCGGUGAAUACGUUCCCGGGUCUUGUACACACCGCCCGUCAAGUCAUGAAAGUCGGUAACACCUGAAGCCGGUGGCCCAACCCUUGUGGAGGGAGCCGUCGAAAGG